Dipodomys ordii (Ord's kangaroo rat) is the source of this 65-nucleotide non-coding RNA. The record is from Rfam. Lineage: Eukaryota; Metazoa; Chordata; Mammalia; Rodentia; Heteromyidae.
GGUGGCUCAGUGGUAGAGUGCUUGCCUUGCAUGCAUGAAGCCCUGGGUUCAAUUCCUGAGCACCA